UCCGACUUAACGUCGGCAGUCCUUUUAGAGUGCCCAACUAAAUGCUGGCAACUAAAAGCAAGGGUUGCGCUCGUUGCGGGACUUAACCCAACAUCUCACGACACGAGCUGACGACAGCCAUGCAGCACCUGUGUAUCGGCCCUUGCGGGCGACGGUAUUUCUACCAGUCUUCCAAUACAUGUCAAAAGUAGGUAAGGUUCUUCGCGUUGCAUCGAAUUAAACCACAUACUCCACCGCUUGUGCGGGCCCCCGUCAAUUUCUUUGAGUUUUAAUCUUGCGACCGUACUCCCCAGGCGGGAUACUUACCGUGUUAACUGCGUCACUGAAGGGGUCAAUACCUCCAACAACAAGUAUCCAUCGUUUACGGUGUGGACUAC
Molecule: unclassified non-coding RNA, 377 nt
Filed under: uncultured Pseudobdellovibrionaceae bacterium
Lineage: Bacteria; Pseudomonadati; Bdellovibrionota; Bdellovibrionia; Bdellovibrionales; Pseudobdellovibrionaceae
Description: uncultured Bdellovibrionaceae bacterium contains 16S-23S intergenic spacer region
Source: RNAcentral